AUUGAACGCUGGCGGCAUGCUUUACACAUGCAAGUCGAACGGCAGCGCGGGCUUCGGCCUGGCGGCGAGUGGCGAACGGGUGAGUAAUGCAUCGGAACGUGCCCCGUAGUGGGGGAUAGCCCGGCGAAAGCCGGAUUAAUACCGCAUACGACCUGCGGGUGAAAGCGGGGGACCGAAAGGACUCGUGCUAUUGGAGCGGCCGAUGUCGGAUUAGCUAGUUGGUGGGGUAAAGGCUUACCAAGGCGAGCAUCCGUAUCUGGUCGGAGAGGAAGACCCGCCACACUGGGACGUAGACACGGCCCAGACUCCUACGGGAGGCAGCAGUGGGGAAUUUUGGACAAUGGGGGCAACCCUGAUCCAGCCAUGCCGCGUGCGGGAAGAAGGCCUUCGGGUUGUAAACCGCUUUUGUUCGGGAAGAAAUCCUCUGGGCUAAUACCCCGGGGGGAUGACGGUACCGGAAGAAUAAGCACCGGCUAACUACGUG
Molecule: ribosomal RNA, 484 nt
Filed under: uncultured bacterium
Lineage: Bacteria
Description: partial 16S ribosomal RNA
Rfam family: Bacterial small subunit ribosomal RNA
Source: RNAcentral